AAUGCCAAAUCCAACAAUGCCCUACAAGACCAUUUAAAUAAUGAUAAUAGUUAUUCAAAAAUUGAUAAAGAAGAAAGAAUGCAAUAUGAGAAAGGCAAAGCAAAACACAACAAUUGGAAGGGAAAUAAUAUUUGAAUGUUAUGUAAAAUCAAAAGUGAGAGAUCCAUGCGAGGCUUCCCAUAACAAUCAACUUAUGCCUAAAAAAGGUUUUCCCCUCAGAUCUUUAAACUCAUAUUCAAACAGCAAAUGUGCAAAUUAUACCUGAGAAACAGUAGAACAGCUACGGUGAAACAUCAAAU
RNAcentral lists this unclassified non-coding RNA (299 nucleotides) under Hevea brasiliensis (rubber tree). Lineage: Eukaryota; Viridiplantae; Streptophyta; Magnoliopsida; Malpighiales; Euphorbiaceae. The record is from RNAcentral.